UCAUUCCUAAAAUAUUUACAGAGAGCAAAAGGCAUGAAAAUAAAUGUUAUGUCUCGAGAACACAAACAUAGCCUUAGCCGAAAGAGCACCACUGAUAUGAAGUAUGAAAUAAAGUCCUCAACUUCCAUAGUCAAAGCUAUCACUUCCUUACAUUACAUAAACCCCCCGCCAGUCACGCAGCCUGUCUGUAACACCUUUCCUCCUCUCUAAAACCCUACACUUCACAUUCACACUCAUAUNNN
This 242-nucleotide long non-coding RNA is filed under the name Ricinus communis (castor bean). Its description in RNAcentral is "long non-coding RNA (RCOM_LNC002946)". Lineage: Eukaryota; Viridiplantae; Streptophyta; Magnoliopsida; Malpighiales; Euphorbiaceae. The record is from RNAcentral.